ACCGCAGCCUGCCCCCGUUAAAAAUAUAACGCCCUCCCCUCGCCCAGGCGUCCCGGCAUUCCAAAUACUGGGGCCAAGGCUGUAAGAACUAUAGACAGCAACUGACAGUACCAGUAACAUGUCAGCAAACUGUCAACGGAGCAGGCCGAGAAAGCAACAUUAACAUCUAAAUCUGAAAAUUCUACGAUUGGAUCCACUGGAAUUGCUACAGAAGCUGCUACUAUGCCCAGUUUGGGCAUUACACGAUCACUAUACACUUGAAAAUCGACAACUUGAAAUGAAAGGACACUUUCGGGAACAACAUGCACCUGUUUGAAGAACCCUCAGCGUCCUACAGGAUAGACGAUCUCCUCUUCAUGGCCAGCAGAGGCCCCUCAGACGCCAGUGAGGAAGGGGUGCGCCAAGGCUUUGGAGGCCGAGAUGCGAUUGGUGGGGCUGAACUCAAGACAUUUCUGUAGUCGAGGACAUAGAGCUUUAACAGAUGCAGGUAUGUCAGAGGGGCGUUCACACCUUGAUUUUCCCGAGGCUCAGUCCAGUGGCAGGGACCAUGGC
Esox lucius (northern pike) is the source of this 552-nucleotide long non-coding RNA. RefSeq lists it as uncharacterized. The transcript has 3 exons. Lineage: Eukaryota; Metazoa; Chordata; Actinopteri; Esociformes; Esocidae. The record is from RefSeq and is a predicted model, not a curated record.